GAUCAUUACACAAAUAUGAAGGCGGGCUGGAACCUCUCGGGGUUACAGCCUUGCUGAAUUAUUCACCCUUGUCUUUUGCGUACUUCUUGUUUCCUUGGUGGGUUCGCCCACCACUAGGACAAACAUAAACCUUUUGUAAUUGCAAUCAGCGUCAGUAACAAAUUAAUAAUUACAACUUUCAACAACGGAUCUCUUGGUUCUGGCAUCGAUGAAGAACGCAGCGAAAUGCGAUAAGUAGUGUGAAUUGCAGAAUUCAGUGAAUCAUCGAAUCUUUGAACGCACAUUGCGCCCUUUGGUAUUCCAAAGGGCAUGCCUGUUCGAGCGUCAUUUGUACCCUCAAGCUUUGCUUGGUGUUGGGCGUCUUGUCUCUAGCUUUGCUGGAGACUCGCCUUAAAGUAAUUGGCAGCCGGCCUACUGGUUUCGGAGCGCAGCACAAGUCGCACUCUCUAUCAGCAAAGGUCUAGCAUCCAUUAAGCCUUUUUUUCAACUUUUGACCUCGGAUCAGGUAGGGAUACCCGCUGAACUUAAGCAUAUCAAUAAGCGGAGGAAAAGAAACCAACAGGGAUUGCCCUAGUAACGGCGAGUGAAGCGGCAACAGCUCAAAUUUGAAAUCUGGCUCUUUUAGAGUCCGAGUUGUAAUUUGCAGAGGGCGCUUUGGCUUUGGCAGCGGUCCAAGUUCCUUGGAACAGGACGUCACAGAGGGUGAGAAUCCCGUACGUGGUCGCUGGCUAUUGCCGUGUAAAGCCCCUUCGACGAGUCGAGUUGUUUGGGAAUGCAGCUCUAAAUGGGAGGUACAUUUCUUCUAAAGCUAAAUAUUGGCCAGAGACCGAUAGCGCACAAGUAGAGUGAUCGAAAGAUGAAAAGCACUUUGGAAAGAGAGUCAAACAGCACGUGAAAUUGUUGAAAGGGAAGCGCUUGCAGCCAGACUUGCUUACAGUUGCUCAUCCGGGUUUCUACCCGGUGCACUCUUCUGUAGGCAGGCCAGCAUCAGUUUGGGCGGUAGGAUAAAGGUCUCUGUCACGUACCUCCUUUCGGGGAGGCCUUAUAGGGGAGACGACAUACUACCAGCCUGG
This 1073-nucleotide ribosomal RNA is filed under the name fungal endophyte. RNAcentral's name for it is "eukaryotic LSU rRNA". The stretch from base 492 to 1073 matches the Rfam family "Eukaryotic large subunit ribosomal RNA", at positions 1 to 587 of the family's 3401-position model. Lineage: Eukaryota; Fungi. The record is from RNAcentral.